This is a long non-coding RNA of Sebastes umbrosus (honeycomb rockfish), 542 nucleotides long. RefSeq lists it as uncharacterized. The transcript has 3 exons. The record is from RefSeq and is a predicted model, not a curated record. NCBI's taxonomy places the organism in Eukaryota, Metazoa, Chordata, Actinopteri, Perciformes, Sebastidae.
AAGAAAACGGUGUUAAAAUAGCCGUUUUAUGUCGCAUUACUGAACUCAAUGGAGCUGCAGUUGGUCGAACUGAACCGCUUCGCUCGCGCUUCUUUCAAAAACUAACGGUCGUUUUUAAAACGUCUGUUUUUUAGAACGUUCACAGUAACGGUUCAUUGUUGUUCUAACAGCUGUCUAACGGCUGUUUAACGGCUGUGCCACCAUUCAAACCGACUCGGUUAUAUAUGUGGAGCAACGUGAACAGGUUGAGAUGAUCUCCUGUGGCAUCCAUCGGACACAUCUGUAAACGGUAAAUACUAGCGCGAAAACACGGAUUUAAAGACUCACCUCGUCGGUAAAUAUGAUAAGUGUGCUGUGCUGUGGGGUUCCAGAGACACACAGCGCGGAGGAGCCAAUGGGAGGAGGCGGUGCUCAGCUCAGAUAGAGGGGGGAGGCAGGAGGUCUCACUCUGCUCCUGAAUGAUGAAGACGAGACUCCCAAGGGAGCCACUGAAGAGGAGCUAAAGAGCCGCACGAGGCUCUGGAGACGCAGGUUGCAGACCC